UUUAUGAUGAUGAAUUCCAAACCGUUCAUAGUUUCCACCAGAAAUACUAUGUUGGCCAGCUUCUUCCUUGGUCAUCUGAGAGA
RNAcentral lists this small nucleolar RNA (83 nucleotides) under Jaculus jaculus (lesser Egyptian jerboa). RNAcentral's name for it is "Small nucleolar RNA SNORD14 (ENSJJAG00000003134.1)". The record is from RNAcentral. Lineage: Eukaryota; Metazoa; Chordata; Mammalia; Rodentia; Dipodidae.